RNAcentral lists this ribosomal RNA (1404 nucleotides) under Triticum aestivum (bread wheat). RNAcentral describes it as "partial small subunit ribosomal RNA". Lineage: Eukaryota; Viridiplantae; Streptophyta; Magnoliopsida; Poales; Poaceae. The record is from RNAcentral.
AUGGCACGGUGGCGUGCUGAAGGACGAAACAGCAGCAGCAGCAGGGCGCGGCCCCCAGCACGAGGGGCUCCUCCCCUGGUGGCGUUUGAGCGAGGAUGCAGUAGGAGCAUCUACAACCGGACAGCAACGCCAUGGAUAUUGGGAGCGCUUCGCCAUUGUCUGACUAAUGCAUGGCUAGUAUCUGACCAUUAUCUGGUGGCUCCAAUCCCACCAGUGCCGCCGGUCCUUGCUGCUGAUGCUUCUCAGGCUGAUCGGGAUGCCACCAAGGCUCUAGAUGAUGCUGCGGUUGAUGCUUAUGAUCAGCAGGUAUCCUCCUAUUCUGAUCCUCUUUCUGUCUAUCGGGAUGAUCUGUCAGCUUACACUCAGUGGUGCAAUGAUGAUGCUCGAUCUGCUGCUGUUCUCACUGCAAGUGUCCUCCCUCAGUUUGCUUCAGAGUUCAUGGGCCUCGGCACUGUUGCAGCAAUGUGGUCCUAUCUUUGUCAGCGCUAUCAACCCUCUGGCGAUGCUCUCUACCUCUCUGUGGUGCGUCAGAAGCAUGCUCUUCAGCAGGGUGACUCGUCUGUUGAUGAUUUCUAUUCACAGUGCUCUGCCAUCUGGCGUCAGCUUGACUCCCCGCGGACAGUUGUUUGUGGAACUUGUCGUUGCUGUCAGACUACUCGGUCCGAUUUGGAGUUUCAGCGGGUUCAUGAGUUCCUAUCACGUCUCCGCUCUGAGUUUGAGCCGAGACGUGCUCACUUUCUUGCCCGUGGUCGUGUUCCUAUCUCGGAGGUGCUUGCCAAGCUUCGUGCUGAGGAGACCCGCCUUCGCUCUGCCGGUUUGCUGGUGGUCCCGUCUGUGUUGGCUGCUCGGGCUCCUGUGUCGUCUGCUCGGCUCUCCGCUCCACCGCUCCUACCCACACCUUCAGGGGGGUGGGUCGCCCUGCUUAUACUGAGAGGGGCCGGUCACGCCGUGACACCUUCUGUGGCUACUGCUCUCGGCCAGGUCAUCCAGAAUCUGAUUGCCGUGAGAAGAAGCGAGACCAGAGGCGCUCCUCUUCCAUGUACUUUAUUUUUUUCUCAUGUUAGUUCAGAUGAGAUUAAGGUGAUGUGUUGGUUUAAUCAAAGGAAGAGAUGGAAUUCAGGCACGCAUUACCAACGACAAACUAUUGAAUAUUCUGAAGUGCACAAGAAGGUCGCUGCAGGUCCAUACCUGGCCGGAUCUACAUCGAUUUUAAGCCAGGUCGAUGCAAAAAUAAGCAAUUCUCACUAUUACGAGCCAGGAUCUCCACGAGUACGUUUCAAUGACAACAAGACCAGCCAAGCCAUAAGGCUCAGAAUUUCAAGACUCCAUGAGACUGUUGUGAUGGUGUCAGCUUCAGGAACGCACAAGGAGGUCACCAAGAUCGAUCAGAUGCCGGCUUCUUGA